RNAcentral lists this long non-coding RNA (421 nucleotides) under Bos taurus (domestic cattle). Its description in RNAcentral is "long non-coding RNA NONBTAT009292". The record is from RNAcentral. Lineage: Eukaryota; Metazoa; Chordata; Mammalia; Artiodactyla; Bovidae.
CAAAUGAAGAUUAACAUUCGCUAAAUAAUUGAGCACAUACAAUUUUUAAAAAAGCAAUAACAAGAUAAUGGGAAAAAUAUGAAAAAACCUGAGACUCUAUGUCACACCUAUAUAAUUUAAGGAAGAAAUUUGAGUUAGGUUUUGGUUUAAAAGAUGGAAAUAUGUUAAAAGUUGUUGCCUGGAUAUAGAGAUGAGAAAUAGCAAUUAAAAUGGAACCCAAAACUAGAAAAAAGUAGAAGUUUACAUUUGUUAGGGAAUAAGUGUAGUUCUUAAAUUUAGGUACCCAUACACAUUUUCUAAUCCCUUAAGAAAUAUAUUGACAUGUAAGACUCAGCUGAAGAGCAAGUUGAGGGAUCCUCUUGUCGAUUUAAGCAUGUGUAAUUGGACCUAUAUACCAUCAUUAAACCAUAAUAAGUAAUUU